Molecule: long non-coding RNA, 1269 nt
Organism: Brachypodium distachyon (stiff brome)
Lineage: Eukaryota; Viridiplantae; Streptophyta; Magnoliopsida; Poales; Poaceae
Exons: 2
Source: RefSeq, a predicted model, not a curated record
UCUCACGCACUCCUCUCCCGAUCUGAUCUCCACACGCACGCACUCAACUCCUCUGCCUCCACCCUCUUCUUCCCCUUCCUCCACACAAGCUGCAGCUCCUCUCCCUUCCUAUCUCCCUUCCGCCUUGCCCAUCUCCCUUCCUCCGUUGCGCAGCACCUGGAGAUAGGAGUAGCGGCGCCGCCCCUUUCCUCUUCUACGUCGAGCAGCAGCCGUGGCAGUGCACGGUGGCGCCGGAUUCGCCGGCCACGACCCAGCCCGGCAUGGGAUCCACCUCCCUUGGCCCCCCAGCGGCCGGAUCCGACCUCCCCCCCCCCCCACACAGCCGACCGUUCCGGCCGAGAUCGACUCCGCCGCCGCCGACCAUCACCGACGAGACGGACGGCCUGGUUCACCCCCGCAUGUGGAGGAGCAGCAGCACGGACGGCCUGGAGCACCGGCAGCGAUGCGUGGAGGAGCACUGGCGCUAGUUUGAUUUGUUGUAACAUUUGAUUAAUUUGCUUGAUUUGUGAUUUGGGGAAUGGAAUGAUAUCCGGCUGCCGGCGUGAGGAUUGGGGAUUAGGGAUUUGAUAUGUAAUUUUGGAUUAGGGAACGUGAGGGCCGGUAGGGCCAUUUCUAUUUUUUUUCUUCCAAAAACUACAUCAGUGUCGGUCGUUGUCUGGGGGAUGACUCCGGGUAGGGUCUAGACGACACACUUUAGCCGACAUAACGAAGGCAAAACCGGUACAAGCAUGUACGCCGGCAUCCAUAAGCCAAACUAAUGCUAAGCCAGCAUACCAAGUGUAUGCCGGCAUGACUAUCUUGUCUUGUAUGAUUGCAGGAUAAGGACAGGUACUCUGAUCUCGGCUACCGCCGAGAUGCCUCAAAUGUCUCAUCCUUGUCUCCUGGCGCAAAGUAAAGAAGCGUUAUCUUUAUCACAGGAAAGUAGUCGCUGCUUACGUUGUGGUGCCAGGCCUAUGCAAAAGAAGCACCGAAAGAGAAUCUCUGAUGGAAGCCGGCAGAUGGCUGCUGUACUUGUUGCAGGGAGCCAGGGAAAAUAAAGUUGUCUUGUCCCCUGCGGUGCCACCCGGAGCGAACCAAGGCGUGUGCCCGGCGGGGCCCAAAGAAGAUAAUGUUAGGCUCUGGCCCGCAUGUCAGUGUGACAUGGGCGGUCCAUAAAUAGAGCACCACCCCUCCCAGGAGAGGUAUCCAAAACUUAGGCAUCUAGGGUUUCCCCCUUCUUCUUCUUCUUCCUCAAGAAUACUGCUCAAGGAGCACCAUUGUAGAUUUUUA